RNAcentral lists this transfer RNA (70 nucleotides) under Heterocephalus glaber (naked mole-rat). It matches the Rfam family "tRNA". From Rfam's summary of the family: Transfer RNA (tRNA) molecules are approximately 80 nucleotides in length. The record is from Rfam by way of RNAcentral. Lineage: Eukaryota; Metazoa; Chordata; Mammalia; Rodentia; Bathyergidae.
GGGGAUUUAGCUCAGUGGUUCCAGUGCCUGCCUUGCAAGCAGAAGGUCCCGAGUUUGAUCCUCGGUACCA